This 144-nucleotide non-coding RNA is filed under the name Paenibacillus uliginis N3/975. The record is from RNAcentral. Lineage: Bacteria; Bacillati; Bacillota; Bacilli; Caryophanales; Paenibacillaceae.
UAGUUGGUGAAAGUCCAACCGAAGGAGGGUCCAAGCCACCUUCGUAGCUAGGACACCUGCGUAUGGAGAAAUCCAUGCGUAGAAGCGUGUCGACGAAAGUAUCUGUCAGUGACAGGGCGAGCAAUAUGCCAGGCCGUAACAUAA